Molecule: long non-coding RNA, 3403 nt
Organism: Chenopodium quinoa (quinoa)
Lineage: Eukaryota; Viridiplantae; Streptophyta; Magnoliopsida; Caryophyllales; Amaranthaceae
Exons: 2
Source: RefSeq, a predicted model, not a curated record
UCAGCAAUCGUAUUGUAAAGCAGUCAUGUAAGGCUAUUAAUAAAUAAACAUAAAGCCGACAACAAGGUAACAAUGCAAUCAUUCUUCUAUAGCAGAACGUAAUCAACAUGGCACAAGUGUGAGCCAAGGAUAGAAAUGUAGCGGGGACUACUUAAACGUUUGGAUUUCUUAUAAUGAAUGUCUUAGAAGAAACUGACUUACACAUAUAGAGCUGAAAUUGCAAUGGUAUUACCAUUUCAAUUACACCUAUUAUUAUAAAUUUAUAAUACCUCCUAUUUUUUUUUUUUAGAUGCAUCACUUUUAAAAUCACGGACUCCGAGGUAAUUAUAGGAGAUGAGAGAGCGAGAUAAUUUAUUUACUGAAAAGGAAGGUGAUGCAUGUAUAUUGAAACUUCUAAAUAAAACAUUGAUGUAUCUAAAAAAAAGAGGAUGAAAACUAAGCUUACCAACAAAGAGGGGGGGAAGGGGGGGGUGGACAGAAAAGAGAGAUUGAAAAUAUUGCUAGUAGUGUUUAAAAAAAACCCUCCCCAAUCCCCAUUCAAUCAAUUAUCUGCUCUGCAAAGAUAAUUUCCAUGGGAGUAAAAAGCUACAAUCACAUGCUAAGCUUUCCUUGCCCAUUUGUUAUUUCAUCCUAAAUUGUCUCUAAGACAUUAGCCAGAAAAUGAGUCAGGGAUAUUAGAAGAGGAAAUGGCUACCUCUAAUGACCUGGGAAGUAGCAGCAUAGGCAUUAGGGGCACAGCAAGAAGGCAGGCAUGAUGAACAAAUCAGAAUGCAUUUUAUUUAAUCACUUCAUAGUAAAAGGUACUAAUCAUACUCCUUUUGAUCCUAACUGAACAACAUACAACAUAAUAUCGUAUGUGCGAGAUGCGAUAGUUCCAAUUCCCUUUCACUUAAUGUUCAGAUAAGGAAAUUUGGAGACGGGAAAGGAAUGGUAAGUAAAGUAUCUACUUUUCCAUAAUUGAAUGAGAUGAGAAACGAAAGAGAAGAAAUUGGACGCAUAGCCAGUCAUACUCAAAGAUGAAGACCAUUUGAAGGUUGUUGUCAAAAGAAAGUAUUUUAAAAACCACAUAUAAAAUCUUGUGCGUCAAUCCUUGCAAACACAAUGCAUGUGAGUAGAUGAGUGAACAAGUGUUAAAGCGUUCAUGAAUGAACAGAAAUAUGUGAACAUGCGUAAAAGAGUCUUAGGGGCAUACUUUGGUCAAUUGCCUUGGAACCCAAAUAUUAGAAGCAAAUUUGCAGCCAAAGUGGCUCAAUCAGUCAUCACUUUCCAAGGCUUCAUAAUAUACACUCCAUAAUUAUUAAAUAGAUAGCCCAUCCAUCAGAUACAACGACAACAUAGGGAUUACUUGGUAACCCUACUAGAGAUACAAAAAGUCAUAUGAUGCAAAAUGUAUAAUAAACUCAAAAAUGAGUCAUACUUACACUACUCAUGUUAGUUUUUAAAACUCACUGUUGAACUAUACUAGGGGUCGUUUGGUUGGAUCAUCUAGAAUGGAGUUAGAAUCUAGUUUUUGGUUUGGUUGUGGUUUUUAGUGAGGGAAUCUCAUACCCAAGGGGUUCUAACUCUCCCCCAUACCCAUGGAAUCCCAUACCCACCCCUCCCCCUAAUAUUCACAAUACAUUCCAUUAAUGAAGGAUGGAAUCCAUUCCAACAAUAAAACCAAACAACUUUGGACAAGUAUGGUUUUUAGAAUUCAUACCUCUCUACUAUGAGAUUUCAUACCAAUCCAUUCCAACUUGAUGAACCAAACACCCCCUUAGUUAUAUUCAUAUUAUUUUCUAAGGAAAAAAAAAAAAAAAAGAUAAUGCACAAACACUUAGCAUAUGAAUUACAGCUGAACAACCACCACAGUCGUCCUUUUGUGGUAUUGCCACACAAUUUUAACUCGCAAACAACAUGUUUCUCCUUUAGGACGCGUAAUUCUGGAUGGGAGUUUAAAGUCCUCAUCCAUUUGGGGCAAUGGAAGGCUUCCUUGUAAAGAUAAGUGUCUAAACACAAAUAUGUAUUAAUGUUUUGUAAUUGCCCCAUACGAACGAGAACUUGAUCCUCCCAUCCAAAUUACGAGUCCAAAAGGACUCGGUCUUAGGGGCUAGAAAAGCUGACAACUAAUAAGGAUAAUACGCUUAUAUUAAAGGUGCUUCUUACUUUAAAAAAUUUGUAUGCACUAACCCUUAUUGGAUUUUCCUGAUAUUAAUGUCCUCUAAGAUUACCAUACAUAGAGUACAUUUUCAUCCUAUCAACAUUUAUUCACAUUACAUUGAUACACAUUUGGUAUUUAUAUAAAAAAAAAUAAUAAUAAAAAAUAAAAAAAUCCCCUCAUUAACAACACCUUUAAGCAAUAGUGUGAAAUCAGCAUACAUAAUAACAAACACUCUCAGUGGCGGACCUGGGCUUGUGCCUGGUGGGUCAAGUGACUCACCAGGGCCCAAAAAAAAAUUUCAGUUUUUUUUUUAAAAAAUAAAAAAUAAAAAAUAAAAAUAAAAAAAAUAAAAAAUUCUAACGUCUGAGUUAGCCCUAGCCCACUUCGCCCUAGCCCACUUCGCCAGUUCGCCUCUUCCUCUUCGCAAGUUCGCAUCUUCCUCUUCGCCUCUUCCUCAGACCUCAGUUCCUCUUCGCUAGUUCGCUUCAUCUUCCUCUUCGCAUAAUUUCAGGUUAGUCAUCUACUCAUCUACUCAUCUUUCGGCUUUUUUUUUAUUUAUUUGUGAAAUGUAAAAUGUUAGUUAUCAACUCAAUCCCUAAUUGACUAAUUGUUCAUAAUCUACUGCUCUUCGCUAGUUUGCUCAGGCUGUGCUGCUGGCCUGCUGGCUGCUGCUCGCCUAGUCGCUUGCUCCAGCCUCCAGUGCUCUGUGCAGCUGUGCUCUGUCCUCUGUCCUCUGCUGCUCGCCUAGUCGCCUGCUCCAGUGCCUAGUCGCUGACUUGCUGUCUUGCUGAGUGUUGGGCAUGGCCCUGCUGCAGUGCUGCUCCGCCUGCUCCGCUGCUCGCCUCAAUCAUUCAGCGCCUGCCGCCUCCGCCUAGCAAGGGAAGACUCAGCUUAUCAAUCAUUUUCUAAUCAACAAGAGUUGGUAUAUUGUUAAUUUGUCUGGAUAUGGGUGAGUCUCUGUAAUUUUGGUUUUAAUUUGGGCAAUUUCUGUAAUUCUUGAAUCUAUUUCAUGCUGGGAAAAUUGUAUACUUGUAUUGUGAAUCAAUUGUUAUUCGUGUUUAUUCCUGAUCAUAUGCUUGAAUCAUAUUGAAGUGCCAAAAAAGGAUUGCUUUUACGCCUUGAGGCAUUGCUUCAAAAUUAUUGAUCAUCCUGGAAAACAUGUUGCGGACUGAUAUGUAUUUAGGCUACAUCCGCUGUAGUUAAUUUGGUCUCCAAUCGUGUUGUUUAUUUUCAAGUUUAGGAAGUAAAUGUCUCCUUACAUGU